RNAcentral lists this ribosomal RNA (251 nucleotides) under uncultured bacterium. RNAcentral describes it as "partial 16S ribosomal RNA". It matches the Rfam family "Bacterial small subunit ribosomal RNA", at positions 525 to 775 of the family's 1533-position model. The record is from RNAcentral.
ACGUAGGGGGCAAGCGUUAUCCGGAUUUACUGGGUGUAAAGGGAGCGUAGACGGCGAAGCAAGUCUGAAGUGAAAGCCCGGGGCUUAACCCCGGGACUGCUUUGGAAACUGUUUUGCUAGAGUGCUGGAGAGGUAAGUGGAAUUCCUAGUGUAGCGGUGAAAUGCGUAGAUAUUAGGAGGAACACCAGUGGCGAAGGCGGCUUACUGGACAGUAACUGACGUUGAGGCUCGAAAGCGUGGGGAGCAAACAG